UCCCUGUUGGUCCAGUGGCUAAGACUUGGUGCUCCCAAUGCAGGGAACCCAGGUUCAAUCCCUGGUCAGGGAA
Molecule: transfer RNA, 73 nt
Filed under: Capra hircus (goat)
Lineage: Eukaryota; Metazoa; Chordata; Mammalia; Artiodactyla; Bovidae
Also listed under: 1 other name
Rfam family: tRNA
About the family: Transfer RNA (tRNA) molecules are approximately 80 nucleotides in length. Their secondary structure includes four short double-helical elements and three loops (D, anti-codon, and T loops). Further hydrogen bonds mediate the characteristic L-shaped molecular structure. tRNAs have two regions of fundamental functional importance: the anti-codon, which is responsible for specific mRNA codon recognition, and the 3' end, to which the tRNAs corresponding amino acid is attached (by aminoacyl-tRNA synthetases). tRNAs cope with the degeneracy of the genetic code in two manners: having more than one tRNA (with a specific anti-codon) for a particular amino acid; and 'wobble' base-pairing, i.e. permitting non-standard base-pairing at the 3rd anti-codon position.
Source: Rfam by way of RNAcentral